AUGCUUUUCCUAAAGAUUAAGCCAUGCAUGCCUAAGACUAUGAGGAAGCAAUUCUCUCUGAAUCUGCGAACGGCUCCGCAAACCAGUUGUAAACCAUAGCAGUGUUCCGCCCGGCUUCAGCAAUGGGGCCGGGCAUUAUAUGGAUAACCGUGGUAAUUCUGAGGCUAAUACAUGACACACCAACCUGCCGGGCUGGGGGCAACUCCGGCUAGGUGGGGGACGUGCAAACUCCCAUUGCUAUAACAAAACCACGAAUGAAUG
This 261-nucleotide ribosomal RNA is filed under the name uncultured Stemonitis sp. Its description in RNAcentral is "partial 18S ribosomal RNA". It matches the Rfam family "Eukaryotic small subunit ribosomal RNA", at positions 28 to 259 of the family's 1831-position model. Lineage: Eukaryota; Evosea; Eumycetozoa; Stemonitida. The record is from RNAcentral.